CAGUAGCCGCGGUAAUACGGAGGGCGCGAGCGUUACCCGGAUUUACUGGGCGUAAAGGGCGUGUAGGCGGCCUGGGGCGUCCCAUGUGAAAGGCCACGGCUCAACCGUGGAGGAGCGUGGGAUACGCUCAGGCUAGAGGGUGGGAGAGGGUGGUGGAAUUCCCGGAGUAGCAGUGAAAUGCGCAGAUACCGGGAGGAACGCCGAUGGCGAAGGCAGCCACCUGGUCCACUUCUGACGCUGAGGCGCGAAAGCGUGGGGAGCAAACCGGAUUAGAUACCCCCGUAGUCCCUGUCUCUUAUAC
RNAcentral lists this ribosomal RNA (301 nucleotides) under uncultured bacterium. RNAcentral's name for it is "partial 16S ribosomal RNA". It matches the Rfam family "Bacterial small subunit ribosomal RNA", at positions 509 to 807 of the family's 1533-position model. The record is from RNAcentral.